Molecule: ribosomal RNA, 465 nt
Filed under: uncultured bacterium
Lineage: Bacteria
Description: partial 16S ribosomal RNA
Rfam family: Bacterial small subunit ribosomal RNA
Source: RNAcentral
GACGAACGCUGGCGGCGUGCUUAACACAUGCAAGUCGUACGGUAAGGCCCUUUCGGGGGUACACGAGUGGCGAACGGGUGAGUAACACGUGAGUAACCUGCCCACAACUUUGGGAUAACGCUAGGAAACUGGUGCUAAUACUGGAUAUGUGCUCCUGCUGCAUGGUGGGGGUUGGAAAGCUCCGGCGGUUGUGGAUGGACUCGCGGCCUAUCAGCUUGUUGGUGGGGUAGUGGCCUACCAAGGCGGCGACGGGUAGCCGGCCUGAGAGGGUGACCGGCCACAUUGGGACUGAGAUACGGCCCAGACUCCUACGGGAGGCAGCAGUGGGGAAUAUUGCGCAAUGGGCGCAAGCCUGAUGCAGCAACGCCGCGUGCGGGAUGACGGCCUUCGGGUUGUAAACCGCUUUCAGCAGGGACGAAGCUUUUUGUGACGGUACCUGCAGAAGAAGCACCGGCUAACUACGUG